RNAcentral lists this transfer RNA (75 nucleotides) under Armatimonadota bacterium. Its description in RNAcentral is "Armatimonadetes bacterium (soil metagenome) tRNA-Lys". It matches the Rfam family "tRNA". From Rfam's summary of the family: Transfer RNA (tRNA) molecules are approximately 80 nucleotides in length. Lineage: Bacteria; Bacillati; Armatimonadota. RNAcentral also lists the same sequence under 1 other name. The record is from RNAcentral.
GAGUCGGUAGCUCAGUGGUAGAGCAUCGGCCUUUUAAGCCGUGGGCCGUGGGUUCGAAUCCCACCCGACUCACCA